Molecule: long non-coding RNA, 390 nt
Filed under: Oryza sativa aus subgroup
Lineage: Eukaryota; Viridiplantae; Streptophyta; Magnoliopsida; Poales; Poaceae
Description: lncRNA OsN22_09G002070
Source: RNAcentral
GCCGUGGAAACUUUACACCUUCUGUGGAGACGUUCGCGUGGUCUUAAUCCCCGGCGUCAAACCGUUGGUCAUAAACCUCGGCAUAACCUAAUCCCAAGGUCGAAGUGUUGCUCUUCGCACCCUACGCUUCGACGCAUACAAUGGUCGGAGCCUCACUACUCCCUCGACCUCCACAGCACGCCGCACCCUAGCUUUUGGCUCUGUGCAAUCCUAACCGCUCUGCUAUCACUCACGAUUCAAUUUGCUUAUAGGCUUUAUUUGCUAUCUUUUCAUAUCCGUAAGUUAGAUCGUACAACUAGUUCGACUAUCGAAUCUAAGGAGCUGACGUGGACCCAGAUGGCUAUGCUGAAGCCGCGGAAAAUCUUAAGGCGCAAGGCAAGACAUAACUAA